Molecule: ribosomal RNA, 492 nt
Filed under: uncultured bacterium
Lineage: Bacteria
Description: partial 16S ribosomal RNA
Rfam family: Bacterial small subunit ribosomal RNA
Source: RNAcentral
AGUGAACGCUGGCGGUAGGCCUAACACAUGCAAGUCGAACGGCAGCACAGUAUGAGCUUGCUCUUACGGGUGCCGAGUGGCGGACGGGUGAGGAAUACAUCGGAAUCUACUUUUUCGUGGCGGAGAACGUAGGCUAACUUACGCUAAUACCGCAUACGACCUACGUGUUUAUGCAGUGGAUCUUCGUACCUUGCGCGAUCGAAUGAGCCAAUGUCGGAUUAGCUAGUUGGCGGGGUAAACGCCCACCAAGGCGGCGAUCCGUAGCUGGUCUGAGAAGAUGAUGAAGCAGACUGGAAAUGAGAAACGGUCCAAAGUCCAACGGGAGGCAGCAGUGAGGAAUAUUGGACACAGGGCGGAAGACUGAUCGAGACAUGCCGCGUGGCUGAAGAAGGAAUUCGGGUUGUAAAGCCCUUUUGUUGGGAAAGAAAAGUAGCAGGUUAAGACACGGAGGUUCUGACGGUACCCGAAGAAUAAGCACCGGCUAAAUUCGUG